This 51-nucleotide ribosomal RNA is filed under the name Alternaria consortialis. RNAcentral describes it as "partial 28S ribosomal RNA". Lineage: Eukaryota; Fungi; Ascomycota; Dothideomycetes; Pleosporales; Pleosporaceae. The record is from RNAcentral.
UUUGACCUCGGAUCAGGNAGGGAUACCCGCUGAACUUAAGCAUAUCAAUAA